CCUACGGGAGGCAGCAGUGAGGGAUAUUGGUCAAUGGGCGCGAGCCUGAACCAGCGAAGUAGCGUGGAGGAUGAAGGGUCUAUGGGUUGUAAACUUCUUUUAUAGGGGAAUAAAGGGAGGAACGUGUUCCUUUUUGUAUGUACCAUAUGAAUAAGCAUCGGCUAACUCCGUGUCAGCAGCCGCGGUAAUACGGAGGAUGCGAGCGUUAUCCGGAUUUAUUGGGUUUAAAGGGUGCGUAGGUGGUUAAUUAAGUCAGCGGUGAAAGUUUGUGGCUCAACCAUAAAACUGCCGUUGAAACUGGUUGACUUGAGUAUAUUUGAGGCAGGCGGAAUGCGUGGUGUAGCGGUGAAAUGCAUAGAUAUCACGCAGAACUCCGAUUGCGAAGGCAGCUUACUAAACUAUAACUGACACUGAAGCCCGAAAGCGUGGGGAUCAAACAGGAUUAGAUACCCUAGUAGUC
This 460-nucleotide ribosomal RNA is filed under the name uncultured bacterium. Its description in RNAcentral is "partial 16S ribosomal RNA". It matches the Rfam family "Bacterial small subunit ribosomal RNA", at positions 338 to 795 of the family's 1533-position model. The record is from RNAcentral.